AAGCCAAUGAGGUGUUUUUAAAUAUUUGGAAUUACCGUCUGAACAUUUACAUUGAUGUCAAUUCGGCUGUCUGAGGCUUCGU
Lycium barbarum (goji berry) is the source of this 82-nucleotide small nucleolar RNA. Lineage: Eukaryota; Viridiplantae; Streptophyta; Magnoliopsida; Solanales; Solanaceae. The record is from RefSeq and is a predicted model, not a curated record.